AACUUAAAGGAAUUGGCGGGGGCCCGCUCAAGCGGUGGAGCAUGUGGUUCAAUUCGAAGCAACGCGAAGAACCUUACCAGGCCUUGACAUGCUAGGGAACCUGGGUGAAAGCCUGGGGUGCCCCGCGAGGGGAGCCCUAGCACAGGUGCUGCAUGGCCGUCGUCAGCUCGUGUCGUGAGAUGUUGGGUUAAGUCCCGCAACGAGCGCAACCCCUGCCGUUAGUUGCCAGCGGGUGAAGCCGGGCACUCUAACGGGACUGCCUGCGAAAGCAGGAGGAAGGCGGGGACGACGUCUGGUCAUCAUGGCCCUUACGGCCUGGGCGACACACGUGCUACAAUGCCCACUACAGAGCGAGGCGACCUGGCAACAGGGAGCGAAUCGCAAAAAGGUGGGCGUAGUUCGGAUUGGGGUCUGCAACCCGACCCCAUGAAGCCGGAAUCGCUAGUAAUCGCGGAUCAGCCAUGCCGCGGUGAAUACGUUCCCGGGCCUUGUACACACCGCCCGUCGCCGCCCAUGUACACACCGCCCGUC
This 531-nucleotide ribosomal RNA is filed under the name uncultured Thermus sp. RNAcentral's name for it is "bacterial SSU rRNA". It matches the Rfam family "Bacterial small subunit ribosomal RNA", at positions 898 to 1425 of the family's 1533-position model. Lineage: Bacteria; Thermotogati; Deinococcota; Deinococci; Thermales; Thermaceae. The record is from RNAcentral.